GUGGGGAAUCUUGCGCAAUGGGCGAAAGCCUGACGCAGCCAUGCCGCGUGAAUGAUGAAGGUCUUAGGAUUGUAAAAUUCUUUCACCGGGGACGAUAAUGACGGUACCCGGAGAAGAAGCUCCGGCUAACUUCGUGCCAGCAGCCGCGGUAAUACGAAGGGGGCUAGCGUUGCUCGGAAUUACUGGGCGUAAAGGGCGCGUAGGCGGACAGCUUAGUCAGAGGUGAAAGCCCAGGGCUCAACCUUGGAAUUGCCUUUGAUACUGGCUGUCUUGAGUGUGGGAGAGGUGAGUGGAACUCCGAGUGUAGAGGUGAAAUUCGUAGAUAUUCGGAGGAACACCAGUGGCGUAGGCGCCCAACUGGCUAGAUACUGACGCUGAGGCACGAAAGCGUGGGGAGCAAACAGGAUUAGAUACCCUGGUAGUCC
RNAcentral lists this ribosomal RNA (425 nucleotides) under uncultured bacterium. RNAcentral describes it as "partial 16S ribosomal RNA". It matches the Rfam family "Bacterial small subunit ribosomal RNA", at positions 354 to 796 of the family's 1533-position model. The record is from RNAcentral.